UUAUAUUCGGGAAGGAAAGUCCGGGCAGCACAGAGCAACGUACCACUUGACAAGGGUGGGCAGUAUGCCAAAACAUACUGACAGACAGGGCCACAGAGAACAAACCGCCUUGAUUAGUCAGGGUAAGGGUGAAAAGGGGGUGUAAGAGACCACCGCCAGCAAGGCAACAAGCUGGGCAUGGUAAACCUUGCGUGUUGAAAGGUCAAAUAGGUUGCAUUUGAGGUUUACCUCAGUUGGUUGCUCGCCAAUUCAACGUAAGUUGAGGUGUAAUGGGUAGACUGCUUGACCCCGAUUAUCGGGGCUAGAUAAAUGAUAGGACUCGACAGAACCCGGCUUACAGGUUUGGU
This 347-nucleotide RNase P RNA is filed under the name zebrafish metagenome. RNAcentral's name for it is "Bacterial RNase P class A". It matches the Rfam family "Bacterial RNase P class A", at positions 32 to 361 of the family's 367-position model. From Rfam's summary of the family: Ribonuclease P (RNase P) is a ubiquitous endoribonuclease, found in archaea, bacteria and eukarya as well as chloroplasts and mitochondria. Its best characterised activity is the generation of mature 5'-ends of tRNAs by cleaving the 5'-leader elements of precursor-tRNAs. The record is from RNAcentral.